GAUGAAGAACGCAGCGAAAUGCGAUAAGUAGUGUGAAUUGCAGAUUUCAGUGAAUCAUCGAAUCUUUGAACGCACAUUGCGCCCUUUGGUAUUCCUUAGGGCAUGCCUGUUCGAGCGUCAUUUAAACCUUCAAGCUCAGCUUGGUGAUGGGUGACUGUCCGCUGCCUCCCCCCGGGGUGCGCCGCGGACUCGCCUCAAAUUUAUUGGCGGCCGGUACGUUGGCUUCGAGCGCAGCAGAAACGCGUAACUCGAGGUCUCCGUGGCGGCUCCCACAAGCAACCUUCAUUAUUUUGACCUCGGAUCAGGUAGGGAUACCCGCUGAACUUAAGCAUAUCAAUAAGCGGAGGA
RNAcentral lists this unclassified non-coding RNA (348 nucleotides) under soil metagenome. Its description in RNAcentral is "partial contains 5.8S ribosomal RNA, internal transcribed spacer 2, and large subunit ribosomal RNA". The stretch from base 1 to 120 matches the Rfam family "5.8S ribosomal RNA", at positions 35 to 154 of the family's 154-position model. The record is from RNAcentral.